This 253-nucleotide ribosomal RNA is filed under the name uncultured bacterium. RNAcentral describes it as "partial 16S ribosomal RNA". It matches the Rfam family "Bacterial small subunit ribosomal RNA", at positions 524 to 776 of the family's 1533-position model. The record is from RNAcentral.
GACGAACUGUGCGAACGUUGUUCGGAAUCACUGGGCUUAAAGGGUGCGUAGGCGGCUCGUUAAGUCGGGGGUGAAAUACUUCGGCUCAACCGUAGAAGUGCCGCCGAUACUGGGAGUCUCGAGGGAGGUAGGGGUCGAGGGAACUUCCGGUGGAGCGGUGAAAUGCGUAGAUAUCGGAAGGAACGCCGGUGGCGAAGGCGGCUCACUGGUUCAUUACUGACGCUGAGGUGCGAAAGCGUGGGGAGCAAACAGG